CUUAGACGAGCGUUGCCGCUCGACCGUCCGUUUGUGGAGUUGGGGGCAGUGUUUCUUGAAUAUGUUAUCGGAUUCUGAUGAAAGUCUUUUUAUCAGAAUCUGGUGAUGUGUGCAAGAAAUAUUGCUUCCGGCUCUACAAAUGGAUGGUUCAGUGGUGGCGCUGUCUGGAUACCACGCAGGAUGACAGUGUUCGAAUUCUGGGUUUGAUAACUCUUGAGAAAGUUCUUUGGGGUGCUGGCCCCGGCUCGGCAACCUUCACCAUCCGCCCCUCCUCCACGUUUGUGGUUGGAACUGCCCUCUUGGUAAUCUCCCUGAUUGGAAAGGGAUUUAAUAAGAAUUAAAAAAAAAAAUGAUUUUCUUUAUCAUCAUGUUAAUAGUAUUGAUCUCACAGAUAAUUCUUAACACGUUUUGUUUUCCCGACAAGUCACAAGAUCCGUUAAUUUCGUUCGAAU
This 452-nucleotide long non-coding RNA is filed under the name Androctonus crassicauda. The record is from RNAcentral. Lineage: Eukaryota; Metazoa; Arthropoda; Arachnida; Scorpiones; Buthidae.